AUUGAACGCUGGCGGCAGGCCUAACACAUGCAAGUCGAGCGGAUGAAGGGAGCUUGCUCCUGGAUUCAGCGGCGGACGGGUGAGUAAUGCCUAGGAAUCUCCCUGGCAGUGGGGGAUAACGUCCGGAAACGGGCGCUAAUACCGCAUACGUCCUGAGGGUGAAAGUGGGGGAUCUUCGGACCUCACGCUAUCAGAUGAGCCUAGGUGGGAUUAGCUAGUUGGUGGGGUAAAGGCCUACCAAGGCGACGAUCCGUAACUGGUCUGAGAGGAUGAUAAGUCACCUGGGAGCUUGAACACGGUCCAGGGGACUGAGGGAGGCAGCAGUGGGGAAUAGGGGACAGUAGGCGGAAGCCUGGUACAGCCGUGCGGCGUGUGUGAAGGAAAUGUUCGGAUUGUAAAGCACGUUAAGGUGGGGGAAAGGGCAGUAGGUUGAGACCUUGCUGUAUUGACGGUACCGAGAGAAGAAGCACCGGCUAACUACGUG
This 484-nucleotide ribosomal RNA is filed under the name uncultured bacterium. Its description in RNAcentral is "partial 16S ribosomal RNA". It matches the Rfam family "Bacterial small subunit ribosomal RNA", at positions 29 to 507 of the family's 1533-position model. The record is from RNAcentral.